ACGAACGCUGGCGGCGUGCUUAACACAUGCAAGUCGAACGGAAAGGCCCUUCGGGGUACUCGAGUGGCGAACGGGUGAGUAACACGUGGGUGAUCUGCCCUGCACUUUGGGAUAAGCCUGGGAAACUGGGUCUAAUACCGAAUAGGACCACGCGCUUCAUGGUGUGUGGUGGAAAGCUUUUGCGGUGUGGGAUGGGCCCGCGGCCUAUCAGCUUGUUGGUGGGGUAAUGGCCUACCAAGGCGACGACGGGUAGCCGGCCUGAGAGGGUGACCGGCCACACUGGGACUGAGAUACGGCCCAGACUCCUACGGGAGGCAGCAGUGGGGAAUAUUGCACAAUGGGCGCAAGCCUGAUGCAGCGACGCCGCGUGAGGGAUGACGGCCUUCGGGUUGUAAACCUCUUUCACCAGGGACGAAGCGUAAGUGACGGUACCUGGAGAAGAAGCACCGGCCAACUACGUG
This 461-nucleotide ribosomal RNA is filed under the name uncultured bacterium. RNAcentral describes it as "partial 16S ribosomal RNA". It matches the Rfam family "Bacterial small subunit ribosomal RNA", at positions 29 to 507 of the family's 1533-position model. The record is from RNAcentral.